GACGAACGCUGGCGGCGUGCUUAACACAUGCAAGUCGAACGGUAAGGCCCUUCGGGGUACACGAGUGGCGAACGGGUGAGUAACACGUGGGUGAUCUGCCAUGCACUUCGGGAUAAGCCUGGGAAACUGGGUCUAAUACCGGAUAGGACUCCGGACUGCAUGGUCUGGGGUGGAAAGCUUUUGCGGUGUGGGAUGGGCCCGCGGCCUAUCAGCUUGUUGGUGGGGUGAUGGCCUACCAAGGCGACGACGGGUAGCCGGCCUGAGAGGGUGACCGGCCACGCUGGGACUGAGAUACGGCCCAGACUCCUACGGGAGGCAGCAGUGGGGAAUAUUGCACAAUGGGCGCAAGCCUGAUGCAGCGACGCCGCGUGAGGGAUGACGGCCUUCGGGUUGUAAACCUCUUUCAGCAUCGACGAAGCGAAAGUGACGGUAGGUGCAGAAGAAGGACCGGCCAACUACGUGCCAGCCGCCGCGGUAA
Molecule: ribosomal RNA, 478 nt
Filed under: uncultured bacterium
Lineage: Bacteria
Description: partial 16S ribosomal RNA
Rfam family: Bacterial small subunit ribosomal RNA
Source: RNAcentral